Molecule: long non-coding RNA, 4802 nt
Organism: Gasterosteus aculeatus aculeatus (three-spined stickleback)
Lineage: Eukaryota; Metazoa; Chordata; Actinopteri; Perciformes; Gasterosteidae
Source: Ensembl
CGAAACUCUUCCCUCCGUGUUCUUUUUUUCCACAUUCAAAUGUUAAGGAAAUGAAGUAAAUUUGAGAUUGCUUGUAGGUGCAGGCGAUGCAGCUGUGCAGCACCGUACUGUACGUGCAUUCGGAUGUAUUGUCUAUGAGCUUCGCACUGUAGAUGCUAGAGAUCCAGAAUGAGUUGACAAAGGACCCUGAAUAUUAAAAACUUGCAUUGUGCUGUGCUCUCUCAUGGUCAGAGGGGGGCGGAGAGCAGGCAAGGAAGUGCAUGAUGACAAAGGAAUAAAAAGAACUGAGGAAGGUUACUGUGUAUUUGUAUGGAAAAGAACAAUGAAGUUGAUCCCUGGAGCUGAAAACAGGCUCAAUGGCUUUCGAAGAUGACUGUAGGAAGAGGCUGAUUCGUAUAAUACAGAUUACAGACACACUGCAGAAGAGUGCAAUGCAGGACGUUUGAUUAAACAUGAAACUACAAAAGUUAAAGGAUGAGGUGCUUUUAAUUGAGCUUUUAGUUUCUGUAUGAUGCAAAUGCCAGUACAAGCCUGGUGUUAGUGGCUUAGAAGAGCUGCAGGAAGAGCCAAAGGAGAGGAGGCACGAGUGGAAUUCAAAGAAGUGAAGCACCUCGUCUGCUGACAGCCUGCUGGCCGUCCCUCCGAAGACAGGUCAGGUGUGAAAUGAGAACUGCUCAACCAGAGCUCUUUUUGUCUGAUCUGCACGUGAGUUUCUGCACUUUAUUUGUGAGUGCCUGCAUGUAUGUAGGACACAGAGGACCCCGUGCACCUCCACAUGUCUUUGUGCAUGAAGAAGCUGGCGUUGCAUUUACAGCCUACACUCACUGUUAUGAAAGACUUGUCUCCGGUUUGUUUCUUUUUGUUUUGUUAGAUUUAGAACUAGAGUAUUGCACACAACACGCUUAAAACUUUGUGCCUGCUUGUCUCAUCAAUAGAUUGGACUGGAUGUUAAUUGAUAACCACUCCCAUAACCAGUGAGCAAAAAAGUCAGUGACUGUGGGAACGACAUGUAGCCCUUCUGAUGUGCAACUGGACAUGCUGCAGUAUUUAUGGAUUUGUCACCGUCAUAGCAACAUGGGUCUUUUUUGAAAAACGGGGAGGGAUGCAAACAAAAAAACUAUAGAGUUGUACCCAUUUGCAACACGAAGAAAUAAUGACAAACCAUCAAAACAGAAACCGUAUUUAAUUCCUGGAGAGUUUUUCACUCAGCAAACCCUACCUUAAGAGAAAGAAACUGAGCGUGCGUCCGAAAAGAGGUCAACCUGCCUGAAAUAUGUGUGUGUAGCCGUGAGCAUAAUGCAAACCUCUGCAAACAUUACCUUAAGAUUUAAGGGCACAAGCGUGCGUCCCAAACGAGGUCAACCCACCGCUGUGUGAAAUGUCUAGUGGUUGCAGCGAGCACGCCGCAGGCCUCAGCAAACACCAUCCCGUGAUUUAAGGCUGCAAGCACGCGUCCUAAACGAGUGAGUCAAGCGUCUGUGUGGUAGGAGGCAAAGCGAAAUGUUCAGCAAACGUUAGGAUAUUGACCUACUUUAAGGUUAAAUAUCGAUAAUAUUUAAAUAUAUAUAUAUGAAGCACUAAGCCUGCUACCGACCUCAACUUUUAGGUGUUGCUUUUCUGGGAGGGAUGCGAGCGUGGAUCCCGAGAGAGUUCAUGCUAUCUAGAUCAAGCAGUGAAUCCCCAGCCAACCACAUUUUAUUUAUUUAUUUACUCAUUAUUUAGUUAAAUUUGUACCCAAUCGCCGCCCCGUGUGAAAACUCCAACAUGUUUAAUGUUAAUUUAUACCGAUUUAAAAGGUAUUGAAUAAUCGUUCAGUUUCAAUGACAUGUGCCAGAAAAAUUCUCAUAGUAAUUUCAAGAUGGGUCACCCAGACGUUAUGACAACAACAAGAUUUAUACCUACUUAAACCAUCUGAGGAUUGUUUUAGGUUCAUUCCCUUAGCUAAACCAUUGCGCAGGUGUUUAACAACUUGUGAAUCACAUUCUGGACACGCCUGGCUUCAGCGAGUUGCCAAACUACCCUGCUGCCCACAGCACUGUUUGGGUUUUGUAGCUGCAAAUUGCUUGAGGGACCAGGGGUCUAAAAGGGAAGGAAGAAGUGCAGCGGAAUGUCCACAUGAGAUCAAGGUGACAGGAUGCAUUCGGCAUGCUCAAUUCCAUACGCCUAAGAUAAAGUGCUGGUAUUUUACAGCCUCUCUCUCACUUGGAAUGUUAUGCUUCCUGACAACGUUUUACUUGUAUCCAGCUGUACAGGAGGAAGCCACGUUCAUCGCAGAAUUUGAAGGGUUUAUUAAAAUCACAAUUACCGUUUAGUCGGAGAACAUGAGAGAUGGAGAACAAUGUCGAUUUAGAGAUAAAACUUUGGUGAAAAUGUUUCUGUGAAAUGCUGAGAACUGAUUGAAAGCAAUGUGAAGCAGCUAACACGGAUGAGUUGUAAUGUGAUUUGUGUGGUUUCACCUUUUCAUAGCGGAGCAGCAGAGAAAUGCUACACGCAUCUUUUGCACGUCACACGCUGACAUGUUUGGGGAGGCAUGGGCAGAUGCAUGUUCAUGAGAUGUCAAUGCCCUGCUGGAUGGUGAGGGGAGAGGGAGGGGGGGGGGGGGGGGCUACUGCUUCCUUGGCCGUGUUCCAACGAAGAUGAUUAUAAUGAUGCUGGAAAUUUAAUUGGUGUUCAUAAAUAAAUGCAACAGAAAGAGGCCGCCCAGUUUCCUCUCUUUCUGAUGAUAAUCCACCUUGAGGCAUAAUUCCAGGAUUUCUUUAGAUUGUUAACGGCGCUGCAGCAGGAUCAAGAUGCUAGAUGUGACAAUGCCACGACACUGCAGCAGUUUAUCGCUCUCUCAGUUAUUUAUGCCCAUUUUGUCCAAUUAGUGCAGCAGGUAGGGGCUUAGUAAUCGAUCUGAGACAGAAAUGUUUUCUUUUUAAGAGAUUGAUGAAUUUCCAUUCGCAUGUCUCCAGGACAAGUUACAAUUUUUUUACAUCACGGUUGGAUUGUCUUGAAUCAUCCCUGAGCACCUGGCACACAGGACUCGGUCACAUCUCAUAAUUAGCUUCUAGAUGGGCUUUUUUAUGUUUGCUAAUUUGUGCCCUGAGGCCUUGGUAUUCAAGCCUUACCAAUUUAGCUUGCGUGCUGACGUACAAUGUAUGUAUUUAAAUGUAAAAAAGAGAAAUUAUUGUGAUGGCUCGUGAACAUUUGUUUCAAGCAGCUAAUUGUGUUGAUGACCUCUUUGACUGUUGGAAGGUAGGAGAUUUGGUUUUUUUUUCCCGGACUACCAAUCUUGUUUUUUACCCAAAGGAGUACUCCGGGUCCCAUGAGUCUGAGUUAGUGGUCAUCAGGAGAAAUGAUGAACAGGAUGAGAGAUGAUAGUGUCACAAGCUGAAGGUCACCUUUUGUUUCAUAAAGCUUUGUGACAGUCGGAAAUUAGAAAUUAGACCGGGUCUCAUCUUUUCUGAAUCCAUUUUCUUUCCAUUAGAGCCAGUCAAAAAGAAUCAUAAAAGUGACACUUCAUACAGUGAAAUGCAAAUUCCCUAAAUUAAGUGGUUUGUUCCCAAUAUGAAUCAUUCAUUACAACGUUUUGUUUGUCCCACUGCAUUCGUUCUUCAGCUGUUAUUUGUGUUAUGGGGCUCUGGGAAUUUAAACAUCAUUUAAACACAUGCAGUCUAUGUCAAAUAUGAACUUAAAAUGAAACAUUAACAGUUGAUGAUUUUCUUUUUCUGAUUCGAAUGAUUAACCGCAGUUAUUCUUUUUUGGUUUUCUUCUGUAUGAGGAAGGAAAUACUGCGAACAUCUGCUGUCAGAUGCUUUUAAGAUGCGUCAUUGUCAAUAAGGCAGUUCUGCUAUCGCUUACAUGAGCAACCAGCAAAGGAUGGACGUGACAGAUCCCAUUAAAGCCAAUAGAGUAGUUCCCCCACCUCAACGCUGUGAAAACUCAAAUUUUGUCUUUUCAUUUUAAAGGCUGCUAGAAAUGCAAAGUGCUUCAGAAAAAAAAAUCCUAUAACUGAUAAAUGUGGGAUUAUUACAUUUUCUGACAAUUCACUUGAGGGAUUUACUUGAUGUAAGAAAUCUUGUUGAAAGCUUUUCUCCCACGACGCCCCAAAGAACCGACACAACAUUGCCACACAACACAGUUUUAUAAUUCAAGCUAUACACAAAAAAGGAAAUGAGUGGAGCGUGAGACUACUACCCAGAUUAAGGACUUUGACACAACACGGCCAUUUAUGUAACAAACAUACUUACGCGUGCGUGAACAAUACUAAUUAAGAUGGGAAAACAUAUUUGGAAGACUUUGCGUGUAAUGCGUUAAAAUGUUGUUGCCUUCGUUGACUCCAAAACUGAGGCUAAAUGCAUAAAUCAAUGAUGAUGUAAAGCCCUGUGUCAUCAUUCAUCUGUUUUUAUUAGUUGAAUAGGUCAACAAACUUAAUGAGGGUAAAAUUAAACGUGUAAUAAAGUGUAUAUAGAAGACUGAGUGAGUCAAGUCAUUUUUGUAUAGCCCAAUACCACAAAUUUCCCGCAAGAGGCUUUACAAUGUUUAUUUUUAAAACAACAAACUGCCUUGUCACUGUAUGACGAUGAGUAAUGUAGCAAUGGAAAUAAUUGAGUUACUGUUAUAUUAGACACUGCCAAGUAUAAACUCUUAGAUUGAAUGGAUUGAUUUGUCCGUGACCCCGUCUACUCCUGGCAUUAAUAAUCCAAUUAAAUUGGAUAGUGCUCCUUGUUGUCUUGGGUGUGCCCCGAGAAGACAAACCUCAAAGUCAGAUAUGCGGCCCCCCUCCCCGUGAUGGGGGGCAUUACAGGUGUCAGCGCGCC